CUAUAUGUGAUUCCUUCGAUGUUGUCUUCUGCCGUCAAUUUGAGCUUUUUGAAUUCGUGUUCCUUGCUUCUGCCUUGGAGUUCUUCUUGUGAUGCUGCGUUAAUUGCGUCAGCCGGUGGUUGCCACGGAGCUUUUACUUUUCCGCUAG
RNAcentral lists this ribosomal RNA (148 nucleotides) under Mucochytrium quahogii. RNAcentral's name for it is "labyrinthulid quahog parasite QPX partial Trypanosomatid mitochondrial large subunit ribosomal RNA". Lineage: Eukaryota; Bigyra; Thraustochytrida; Thraustochytriidae. The record is from RNAcentral.